UGUUUGCCUGGUCGCUCCAUUAGUAGUC
Molecule: small RNA, 28 nt
Filed under: Bombyx mori (domestic silkworm)
Lineage: Eukaryota; Metazoa; Arthropoda; Insecta; Lepidoptera; Bombycidae
Description: ovarian small RNA-1592
Source: RNAcentral